CCAAGCAGACCUGCUAAGAAAGGGCUGUCUUACUACAGCUGAUUGGGGGACGUUAAAGGCAUCUCCAAGGGGGUUGAAACUAGAUGAUCUUACAGGUCCUUUUCAAUCCAGGCCAUCCUAUGAUUCUGUGAUCAUCCCUACAUCAUUUGCAAGGGGUGCAGUUGCUGAUGAUUACUCAUAGCUGUCUGGUUUUCCACUCUCCUUUUUGCUGAAGGGAUUCCACUCUCAUAAGGCUGUUGUAACCUUUGACCUCGCAUUUUUGCAAGGAGACAGAGGUUCAGCAGGAACAAAGGAAAAGGCUGCUUAUUUUUUCAAGCUGUUCUUUCUGAUGUGGACAAAAGGAUUCUCUGCUGUGGUCUGUGCCUGAAGAGGCUGUAUUUGCCCCAGUUCUUCUGGCAGUGGCAUAUGUAAAGUGAGGAAUACAGAAUGUGGGAAACAGGACCCUGAUCUCAGGUGGCACAUAGAACAAGGUGAUGGAAUGAUGUAGCUGUGCUCACAGACCUCCUGGAAUCUGUGGACAACGCACAGCUUAGGUGCUUUUGACAGGACUGCCCUUGUUACUAUUUUGUGAAUGGGAUUUAAAGGAUGGAGGUAAAGCUGAACUCCCCUAUUCUUUUCUGGUGGACAGGAGCAAAGAGAAGAGGGGAAAAAAAAAAACACCAAAA
Long non-coding RNA from Tympanuchus pallidicinctus (lesser prairie-chicken), 665 nucleotides. RefSeq lists it as uncharacterized. The transcript is spliced from 2 exons. The record is from RefSeq and is a predicted model, not a curated record. Lineage: Eukaryota; Metazoa; Chordata; Aves; Galliformes; Phasianidae.